Molecule: non-coding RNA, 1076 nt
Organism: Cyanistes caeruleus (blue tit)
Lineage: Eukaryota; Metazoa; Chordata; Aves; Passeriformes; Paridae
Source: RefSeq, a predicted model, not a curated record
GCUGGAGCAGCUCUUGGCUCCAAGGAUGUGUGUCCUGUCAGCAGAGCAGGUGGCUUGGGGUGCUGCAGGUUUGUAGUCCCCCAGUCAGAGUGGGUCUCUGAGCAUCACUGGGCUCUUGCUGCAGACCUGUGCUGGCUGUGGCCAGAUCCUUCACUCCUGCAUCCCACAUCUCUGCUGUGCUUCUAAAUCCUUGGGACUACAGCUUUUUCCCUGUGGGCAGCCUUUAGCAUCAAUAGGGCUUUUUUCUGCCAAGCUACUUUGAUCUACAACACAGACCACAGCUAGUUCUGAAGGAAGACGAGAUGCAGACUGACAGCCUCCAAGUCAGGCAGUAAGGGAGGUGACAAGGAGCGGGUGAAGAAAGUGGUUCUGCCUUGCUGGCAGGGUCUGAGCCUGGUCAUACCAACUGCCUUCAUCAUUUGUCCUUCACACCACUGUCAGCCAAACACUCCUGAUAGAAAGUCUCAACUUCAGUUCACCUGGAAAAAAUGUACCCAGUAGGAAGCCCUGUCCUAACAACCUAGGAUUUCAAGGGUAUCUCUUAUAAAGGUCUUGUAAAUCCCAUCUUCAAAUUUCUUGAAAUAUUAAUUUUCCUUUACCUACAUAGACCCUUUAUAACUGUGCUGUAAUAUUAUUAUUUAAUACCUAGCUUUUGUUUUUCUUCCUUUGAGAACCAGCAGGGACAAGUCUGUGUGUCGGUCUGAUAAAGAACCUUAGCUGUGCUACAAUGCAGGCACUGGGAAUUUCAUGUUCCAGAAUAGAGGUCUUUCCAGAGAAAUCUGUUUCAGAUGUGUCUGUGCACUCUUCAGCUGUGGUGGCCACUUAAUGAGUGAGGGUCUGAACUGUGGUGUCCUGAUAGUGGCUUUUCUGUCAUUGGAGCAGCUGUGAAUUGGAGCAGAAAUUGUUUCUUGUACCAUCGUUCCCAAGGCAGGCAGGCAAGUACUUGCUUGUCUUGAUGAGGCUGUGCCACAUGCGUUGUAUUAGCAUGCCAGAAUAAAUACACUUCAGGUACAGACAACAGUAAAAGGCUCUGUAAGUGUCACUGCAGGUAGGCAGAUGGGGAGGCUCGUGCUUCC